AGACCCGAAACCCGGUGAUCUAGCCAUGGGCAGGUUGAAGGUUGGGUAACACUAACUGGAGGACCGAACCGACUAAUGUUGAAAAAUUAGCGGAUGACCUGUGGCUGGGGGUGAAAGGCCAAUCAAACCGGGAGAUAGCUGGUUCUCCCCGAAAGCUAUUUAGGUAGCGCCUCGUGAAUUCAUCUCCGGGGGUAGAGCACUGUUUCGGCUAGGGGGCCAUCCCGGCUUACCAACCCGAUGCAAACUGCGAAUACCGGAGAAUGUUAUCACGGGAGACACACGGCGGGUGCUAACGUCCGUCGUGAAGAGGGAAACAACCCAGACCGCCAGCUAAGGUCCCAAAGUCAUGGUUAAGUGGGAAACGAUGUGGGAAGGCCCAGACAGCCAGGAUGUUGGCUUAGAAGCAGCCAUCAUUUAAAGAAAGCGUAAUAGCUCACUGGUCGAGUCGGCCUGCGCGGAAGAUGUAACGGGGCUAAACCAUGCACCGAAGCUGCGGCAGCGACGCUGAUGCGUUGUUGGGUAGGGGAGCGUUCUGUAAGCCUGUGAAGGUGGCCUGUGAGGGUUGCUGGAGGUAUCAGAAGUGCGAA
Molecule: ribosomal RNA, 587 nt
Filed under: Salmonella enterica
Lineage: Bacteria; Pseudomonadati; Pseudomonadota; Gammaproteobacteria; Enterobacterales; Enterobacteriaceae
Also listed under: 1 other name
Description: partial 23S ribosomal RNA
Rfam family: Bacterial large subunit ribosomal RNA
Source: RNAcentral